Molecule: ribosomal RNA, 380 nt
Filed under: Segatella copri
Lineage: Bacteria; Pseudomonadati; Bacteroidota; Bacteroidia; Bacteroidales; Prevotellaceae
Description: bacterial SSU rRNA
Rfam family: Bacterial small subunit ribosomal RNA
Source: RNAcentral
ACAAUGGAGAGUUUGAUCCUGGCUCAGGAUGAACGCUAGCUACAGGCUUAACACAUGCAAGUCGAGGGGAAACGAUAUUGGAAGCUUGCUUCCGAUAGGCGUCGACCGGCGCACGGGUGAGUAACGCGUAUCCAACCUGCCCACCACUUGGGGAUAACCUUGCGAAAGUAAGACUAAUACCCAAUGACGUCUCUAGAAGACAUCUGAAAGAGAUUAAAGAUUUAUCGGUGAUGGAUGGGGAUGCGUCUGAUUAGCUUGUUGGCGGGGUAACGGCCCACCAAGGCAACGAUCAGUAGGGGUUCUGAGAGGAAGGUCCCCCACAUUGGAACUGAGACACGGUCCAAACUCCUACGGGAGGCAGCAGUGAGGAAUAUUGGUCA